GUAGCAAUACCAUGACCAUUAUUUUCUUUUGAAAAAAUGGUACAGGUGGUGGCACAAUAAAAGGCGGCAGAAAUUUCAAUCUUUGUCUUGAAAAAAGGAAAAAAACCAGUCCAUCUUUAUAUAACCUUUUACUUCGUAAAAAAACAGAGCAACGCAUCGAUUAUCUUGUUUUUUUUUGUUACCACUAGGUUACUUGAAGCCGCCGACCUGUGAAGAAGAAAUCCAUCUUAUUGAAUAUUUUAAUAAAUAGUAAUUUGUAUUUGAAUUUUGUAACGAAAAUCGUCUAUUGAUGGAUUUGUGUUUGGAUUUAUAAUUUCGAAAACCAAAUAACAUAAUCACGAAACAAAACAUUUGUAAAGCAUAUCAAUCUCAAAUCAUCAACAAAUUACAGCCGUCCAUCCAAAACAUCAUUACCAUCACCAACACC
This is a long non-coding RNA of Dermatophagoides pteronyssinus (European house dust mite), 427 nucleotides long. Lineage: Eukaryota; Metazoa; Arthropoda; Arachnida; Sarcoptiformes; Pyroglyphidae. The record is from RefSeq and is a predicted model, not a curated record.